This 275-nucleotide ribosomal RNA is filed under the name uncultured prokaryote. RNAcentral describes it as "partial 16S ribosomal RNA". It matches the Rfam family "Bacterial small subunit ribosomal RNA", at positions 524 to 798 of the family's 1533-position model. The record is from RNAcentral.
UACGUAGGUGGCAAGCGUUGUCCGGAUUUACUGGGCGUAAAGGGAGCGUAGGCGGAUUUUUAAGUGAGAUGUGAAAUACCCGGGCUUAACUUGGGUGCUGCAUUUCAAACUGGAAGUCUAGAGUGCAGGAGAGGAGAAGGGAAUUCCUAGUGUAGCGGUGAAAUGCGUAGAGAUUAGGAAGAACACCAGUGGCGAAGGCGCUUCUCUGGACUGUAACUGACGCUGAGGCUCGAAAGCGUUGGGAGCAAACAGGAUUAGAUACCCCCGUAGUCCCU